RNAcentral lists this ribosomal RNA (466 nucleotides) under uncultured bacterium. RNAcentral describes it as "partial 16S ribosomal RNA". It matches the Rfam family "Bacterial small subunit ribosomal RNA", at positions 28 to 507 of the family's 1533-position model. The record is from RNAcentral.
GAUGAACGCUGGCGGCGUGCUUAACACAUGCAAGUCGAACGAUGAAGCCCAGCUUGCUGGGUGGAUUAGUGGCGAACGGGUGAGUAACACGUGAGUAACCUGCCCUUAACUCUGGGAUAGGCCUGGGAAACUGGGUCUAAUACCGGAUAGGAGCGCCUACCGCAUGGUGGGUGUUGGAAAGAUUUAUCGGUUUUGGAUGGACUCGCGGCCUAUCAGCUUGUUGGUGAGGUAAUGGCUCACCAAGGCGACGACGGGUAGCCGGCCUGAGAGGGUGACCGGCCAUACUGGGACUGAGACACGGCCCAGACUCCUACGGGAGGCAGCAGUGGGGAAUAUUGCACAAUGGGCGAAAGCCUGAUGCAGCGACGCCGCGUGAGGGAUGACGGCCUUCGGGUUGUAAACCUCUUUCAGUAGGGAAGAAGCGAAAGUGACGGUACCUGCAGAAGAAGCACCGGCUAACUACGUG